GAUGAACGCUGGCGGCGUGCAUAAUACAUGCAAGUCGAGCGAACAGACGAGGAGCUUGCUCCUCUGACGUUAGCGGCGGACGGGUGAGUAACACGUGGAUAACCUACCUAUAAGACUGGGAUAACUUCGGGAAACCGGAGCUAACACCGGAUAAUAUAUUGAACCGCAUGGUUCAAUAGUGAAAGACGGUUUUGCUGUCACUUAUAGAUGGAUCCGCGCCGCAUUAGCUAGUUGGUAAGGUAACGGCUUACCAAGGCAACGAUGCGUAGCCGACCUGAGAGGGUGAUCGGCCACACUGGAACUGAGACACGGUCCAGACUCCUACGGGAGGCAGCAGUAGGGAAUCUUCCGCAAUGGGCGAAAGCCUGACGGAGCAACGCCGCGUGAGUGAUGAAGGUCUUCGGAUCGUAAAACUCUGUUAUUAGGGAAGAACAAAUGUGUAAGUAACUAUGCACGUCUUGACGGUACCUAAUCAGAAAGCCACGGCUAACUACGUG
Molecule: ribosomal RNA, 497 nt
Filed under: uncultured bacterium
Lineage: Bacteria
Description: partial 16S ribosomal RNA
Rfam family: Bacterial small subunit ribosomal RNA
Source: RNAcentral